This 320-nucleotide ribosomal RNA is filed under the name uncultured eukaryote. RNAcentral's name for it is "partial 18S ribosomal RNA". It matches the Rfam family "Eukaryotic small subunit ribosomal RNA", at positions 1470 to 1796 of the family's 1831-position model. The record is from RNAcentral.
CCCCUAGAUGUUCUGGGCCGCACGCGCGCUACACUGAACAGUUCAACAAGUCUUAACCUUGGCCGAUAGGUCUGGGUAAUCUUUGAACGCUGUUCGUGAUUGGGAUAGACCUUUGCAAUUAUGGGUCUUCAACGAGGAAUUCCUAGUAAACGCAAGUCAUCAGCUUGCAUUGAUUACGUCCCUGCCCUUUGUACACACCGCCCGUCGCACCUACCGAUUGAAUGGUCCGGUGAAAUCUCGGGGCGGCGGCUUGGUCGCUUGCGUCCGACUGCUGAAACUUGAUUAAACCAUAUCAUUUAGAGGAAGGUGAGGUCGUAACA